This 59-nucleotide microRNA precursor is filed under the name Monodelphis domestica (gray short-tailed opossum). Its description in RNAcentral is "Mdo-Mir-7262-P5_pre stem-loop". The record is from RNAcentral. Lineage: Eukaryota; Metazoa; Chordata; Mammalia; Didelphimorphia; Didelphidae.
CAAAAGACUUGAAGCAAUUUUAAGCUAUUAAAGCUUAAAACUGCUUUAAGACUUUUAGG